CCGGUGGGGAGAGUCAGGGGGACAGGCAGGCUUGCCUCCCCCCAGGCCCCCAGGCCCCCAGGGACUUGGAUCGCUUGCCCCUCUCGUGUUCCAGGCUGGGAGGUUUUCCAGCCAAGGGCCUCUCUCUUUCCUUCCUUUCAGACACCAGGCACCACUGUUUCCUAGGACUUAGCUUCUCUCCUUCCUGCACCCCUGACCCCGCCCACAGCUCAGCACCUGGGGGUCACACAGAGCAGCGACGGGCCACCUGACUGCCCCGGAAGAGCCAUGUCCACAGCUGGGCCUGGCCCAAGUCGGGUAGGGGCCGCAGCUCCGAACGUGGCAAAGGCCUCUCCCUGGAAGGAGCUGGGCUGCCGCAGGAGGAGGGGAAUUUGGCCUUGACUCUGCGCCAGGCAGACAGGCCUGGCAGGAAUGAGGAAGUCCAGAGGGAGAACUCUGUUUUCUUAGUGCAGAUUCUGGACCCUGGAGGACCUGAGCCCCUAAAAGGCCGACCCAAGCUGGGCCUGGCUGGGAACAUUAGAAGGGACCGAGGCGGCGAGAUGUCUAAAAUAGGAAGACGCCGGGGAUGCUUGGCCUGGCUGCCCGCGAUGCUGGCUGCAGGGAUCUGGCCGGGCUGUGCAGAUGGAAAAGCUAAGAGGCCUAAAAGUCGUGGAAUCAGCUGACCAUGGACUGAAACCUCUGAAACCAUGAGCCAAAAUAAAUGUUUUCUACUUUAAGUUGAUUUCCUCAGGUAUUUUGUCAUAGCACCAGCAAGCUGGCUGACACACGGUGAGGUGGAGGGAAAGCUUCACUGGAUCCUAAUCAGGGAUGAUCCCCCCUGGGUGAGG
Molecule: long non-coding RNA, 827 nt
Filed under: Heterocephalus glaber (naked mole-rat)
Lineage: Eukaryota; Metazoa; Chordata; Mammalia; Rodentia; Bathyergidae
Description: lncRNA (ENSHGLG00100042967.1)
Source: RNAcentral